CACAGAGAGCUUGCUCUCGGGUGACGAGCGGCGGACGGGUGAGUAAUGUCUGGGAAACUGCCUGAUGGAGGGGGAUAACUACUGGAAACGGUAGCUAAUACCGCAUAACGUCGCAAGACCAAAGUGGGGGACCUUCGGGCCUCAUGCCAUCAGAUGUGCCCAGAUGGGAUUAGCUAGUAGGUGGGGUAAUGGCUCACCUAGGCGACGAUCCCUAGCUGGUCUGAGAGGAUGACCAGCCACACUGGAACUGAGACACGGUCCAGACUCCUACGGGAGGCAGCAGUGGGGAAUAUUGCACAAUGGGCGCAAGCCUGAUGCAGCCAUGCCGCGUGUAUGAAGAAGGCCUUCGGGUUGUAAAGUACUUUCAGCGAGGAGGAAGGCGUUAAGGUUAAUAACCUUGGCGAUUGACGUUACUCGCAGAAGAAGCACCGGCUAACUCCGUGCCAGCAGCCGCGGUAAUACGGAGGGUGCAAGCGUUAAUCGGAAUUACUGGGCGUAAAGCGCACGCAGGCGGUCUGUCAAGUCGGAUGUGAAAUCCCCGGGCUCAACCUGGGAACUGCAUUCGAAACUGGCAGGCUAGAGUCUUGUAGAGGGGGGUAGAAUUCCAGGUGUAGCGGUGAAAUGCGUAGAGAUCUGGAGGAAUACCGGUGGCGAAGGCGGCCCCCUGGACAAAGACUGACGCUCAGGUGCGAAAGCGUGGGGAGCAAACAGGAUUAGAUACCCUGGUAGUCCACGCCGUAAACGAUGUCGACUUGGAGGUUGUGCCCUUGAGGCGUGGCUUCCGGAGCUAACGCGUUAAGUCGACCGCCUGGGGAGUACGGCCGCAAGGUUAAAACUCAAAUGAAUUGACGGGGGCCCGCACAAGCGGUGGAGCAUGUGGUUUAAUUCGAUGCAACGCGAAGAACCUUACCUACUCUUGACAUCCAGAGAACUUAGCAGAGAUGCUUUGGUGCCUUCGGGAACUCUGAGACAGGUGCUGCAUGGCUGUCGUCAGCUCGUGUUGUGAAAUGUUGGGUUAAGUCCCGCAACGAGCGCAACCCUUAUCCUUUGUUGCCAGCGGUUAGGCCGGGAACUCAAAGGAGACUGCCAGUGAUAAACUGGAGGAAGGUGGGGAUGACGUCAAGUCAUCAUGGCCCUUACGAGUAGGGCUACACACGUGCUACAAUGGCAUAUACAAAGAGAAGCGACCUCGCGAGAGCAAGCGGACCUCAUAAAGUAUGUCGUAGUCCGGAUUGGAGUCUGCAACUCGACUCCAUGAAGUCGGAAUCGCUAGUAAUCGUAGAUCAGAAUGCUACGGUGAAUACGUUCCCGGGCCUUGUACACACCGCCCGUCACACCAUGGGAGUGGGUUGCAAAAGAAGUAGGUAGCUUAACCUUCGGGAGGGCGCUUACCACUUUGUGAUUCAUGACUGGGGUGAAGUCGUAACAAGGUAACCGUAGGGGAACCUGCGGUUGGAUCACCUCCUUACCUUAAAGAA
This 1478-nucleotide ribosomal RNA is filed under the name Klebsiella aerogenes. RNAcentral's name for it is "bacterial SSU rRNA". It matches the Rfam family "Bacterial small subunit ribosomal RNA". The record is from RNAcentral. Lineage: Bacteria; Pseudomonadati; Pseudomonadota; Gammaproteobacteria; Enterobacterales; Enterobacteriaceae.